ACCUGUCUGCUUUGGGUAUCACCACCAUUCGGCAUGUAUUGCCAAUACUAAACAAAUAAGUAAAUACAUAAAUUCAAAGUAACAGGUGUUUAUUAUCACGUGUGUGCUGUAAUAGCCCAUCAGCCUGUCCCUCAGACAAAUAAACUCUCUUUAAAUCUUCUAAACUUCCUCUUGAAGCCCACCUCUCCCUCCAGGGGCUGGGUAGGGCAUUUGGGACCCAGGAUCUCUAACACUCUCUUCUCUGGGAAGCCAUCUCCCACUGCCCAGGAUGCUGGAUGGGAGGUGAGUGCAACGGGCCUGUGGGGUUGUCAGUUGGCGGAAGAAAUCUGUAGAUCCAGGGAGAGAAUCGAGCCACAUGUGUGGAUUUGGAAAUGACAGUGUGUGGCUGCACAGCACGAAGGGGAUGAAGUCACAGACACCUGGAUUUAAAUCGAGACUCCACCAUUUAUUUCUUGUAUGACUUUGGGGAGGUUACUUAAUCUCUUUGUGGCUCAGUUACUUCAUUUGUAAAAUGAAAUGAUAAUAUUCUGGGAGAAUGGUUCAUGUUUCCUUCCUUCAUAAACUGCUGUUCACGAGGCGGCUUCUUCCAGGGUUAAAAAGGAAUCUACUAUCCAUGUAUCUGCUAGGACAGACAUUGUUGCGUGUCACUUGACUCCUGAAAUACGCCACGGUAAAGAAAUCUCUGUAAACUUUCGUGUUCUGGGAAGUCACUGACCACACAGGACCAAUUAUUCUCCAUGAGACUUAGAUAAGGGAUGCUGUCUGUCCACUCUGUGCCGUGACUCCCAGAUGGCAGACACCACCAGUCCUUGUUCUUUUGUCUCAUGAAUGUGUUGUAACCAAGCGAGUUAUAGAGAAACGCCACACUUUGACACAAAUUAAGGGGACCUUUAUUAGCUGGCGACCUAGAGGCAGCUAACGCUCAAAAUUCUCUCGGCCCCAAGGAAGGGGCUAGUUUUGUUUUUAUAUCGUGGUCUAAGCAGGGGAGGGGGGAGUUUAGCUGAAGCAAUUUUACAGAAGCAGAAUAGGCAAAAAGUUAAAAAAAAAAAAAAAACUAAUUGGUUAUAGAAGCAGUUACAAAAAAUAAACAGUUCCAGGUGCAGGGGCUUAAACUAUGAUUAAGAGAUAAAUGCAGGGGCUUUUAGGUACCUUCCGCCGAGCACGUUCCCGAGCUGUUGGUACAGCCUGCCUCAAUAUCUUACCAGCAGGUGUAUUCUUGGAUGUGCUUGGAGUCAGCUUGCACUAGUUAUUCCCUUAAGGGGGAUAAAGGGGACUGGAAGUGAAGAAACUAAAAUGGAGUCUGUCCGGCUCUCUCUGCUAGGAAAGAGUCACUCAGGUUAAAACAAGGUAGGGUGUCACAAAUGAUUCACUUAGACGGGAAGUCUGUCCUCCUAAAAGUAGCUAGGCACAGAGAGAAACAUUCCCUGUUCAGCUGGCUGAGACUUCUGCCGAUUAAAAAAAAAAAAACAACCCUGCCCCAUAAAUCUCCCCACUGAAACCGGUGUACUCCUUCCUACGAAAGUAAAAGACACCCCCGCCCCGCCCCGGUUACCCCAACAGUGUGAUUUCCACUUCUGGGGCGCUCUCCCUAAGGCAGUAGCCUGAAUAAUUUCAAUGUAUUGGAUUGUUUGGUUUCUGUCUUCACCAAGGUGCAUUUAUCAUUCAUGCAAAAACAGUAAAAAAAAAAAAAAGAAACAGCACCUGUCGGUUCUCAGCGGCGCGCCCUAGCUCAAAACUCCCAGCCAAUCACAGGAGAAGUCGGCCGCCUCCCAACCCUCCAGCCCAGUUCCCACGUCCCUCGCCCGGGAAGUCACGUCCGCUACAGGGAGCGUCUUCCCAUGGCCUCCGGAAGCAUUCGGCAGUCCACAAGCCACGCUUCAGAGAAGCCGCUCCGGGAACGCCGCGGCGCACCUCCGGAAGGGAUGACCUCCACGCCUUCUCCCCUCGCAGUCCACCCGAGUGGCGUGGGUCGCGAGAAGCCACCCAACCGCUCCGUCUUCCGGCUCCGGCGGUCCGCGGCAGCCAAUCAAAGGUUCAGUUUCUCAGCGGCGUCGCAUCCCUGUGACGUGAGCACAUCCUCGCCGGCGCCCCCUUCCGCGCUGCGGCGCCUCUAGCCCGCCGGAGGGCGGCUCCUCUCGAUGGUCUUAACCCUUCAAUUACGAGCGGGCGGCGCUGCGUUUCCAGGGCAGAGGAAACGAGGCGCCGCGUUGGCGCUUGGACGGCGGGAACCGGCUCCGGAGCGAGAACGCGCGUGAGAGAGCCCGAGAGAGACGGAGAGCGAGCGAGCGCGCGGGAGAGACUGAGAGCGGGGGGUGGGAGAGAGACAGAGCGAGAGGCCGAGACCGAGGCCGUCCCUAGCACAGGCCAGGGUGUCUUGGGACUCGAAUCCCUGGGUUGGGCUGGCCGGGAGUGGGGCUUUCGAAGGAAGCGGGUGAUUUUCCACGUCGUCCAUAUCUCCCCGGUGUGGGAAUGGCGGUCGUGCACUCUGGGGGUGGCGUUGUUCUCGUUCCCUACUUGGGGGUGGCCUUUUUCAGCGGAGAAAGAGGAUGCCGUGGGCAUUGGUAGCCGGCGGGACUACACUUGGGCUAGGAUCAGUGUUCAGCGGGUUCAGAAAUCACCGUGUCCUUGGCAUCACCUCCCUCCCCACCUCCUCUCCCAUCGCACAGCAGGAGACAGUGACUGGAGGGUUUUCAAGGAGGACUGCAUUGCCCCUAUUGAAACAAACCGUCCGUCCGACAAACCCUUUCUCCGACGUGUGACAGAGGGACGGUCGUAAUGUGAAAUACGACUAGACAUGCGUUUAAUGGGCGGUGUGAUUGCUGCAUUCGUGCGCAAUGAAUGGUCCAGGCCAUUUGUGUCCAGUAGCCGCACAAGCUGCAGGGUCUCAUGUUUGGAGAAGGAGGGCCUCUCCGCCGUCCACCUUGCUGGAGUACAGGCGACCCUGGGCGGUAGCCCUCUCCGCCAUCAGAAAUGUGGUGCUCUGAGUAGCCACAGAUUCCCAUCUGCAUCUCCAAUACCAUUUCCCUCUACUCACUGACCCGUUGGGUGCGUUGGAUUUGUGCGUGGGUGUGAGGGUAGUUUGGUGUGUUUGCUUGCAAAUGGAAAAGCGAAUGGCCUUGGUUGGCUGAGCUUAUCAGGGCACUAGCAGUGGAGAGAGAAAGGACUACUGUAUUCUUAGGAGCAGAAUCUCAACAACUUCCUAUAAAACGGGCAGUGUGUCUUACCUGGAAUGCUUUGGCAUUUAAUAAAAUGUCCUGUGAAUACUUUUCAUAGGGAAGCACUGUUUUUACUGUUUCUGGUUGGACAGUGGUUACAUUUCAAAUCGUAGUUCAGAAUUCGUGAAAUACCCAAAUUAAAUCUCUACGUGGCAGUAAUCCAUUUUCUUUCCUUGGUGUGUGGUUGGAAGAUUAAUUUGAGAUAAGUGUUCAGUUCUGGGCUGGGCAAUCGUGCCGGGCACGGGAAAUUCAGGUUCUUUAAGGGAAAGGCCUGAUGUGCUAAAACGAAAUCUAUACCGUGUGUAGCCGCUUAUGAGAAUAUGAAACUAAGGAGAGCCACAGGUAAGUAUAUGUCUAUGAGUGCGAAUUAAAACGGGUGACAAUAUAAAGAGAGAUUGGUGUCACAAAUGGUGGAGUGACUUUUGUAUUUCAGCAGACCUCAGUGAGAAAUGGUCACCACCACUCCCUAGAUGUGUGACCUUGAGUGAGUUGCUUAACCUCUCUGAUCCUGUUACCUCAUCUGCAACUGGGGAUGAGAAUAUAUAUCAUAGCAUGCCCUGGGAGAAGCUGUUCCUGACCACCUGGGCUAUGGUGAUUUUGACUUCCUCUGUGUCAGAAGUACCCCCGUCUCAUGCCUGCCAUAGUUGUCUUUUUGUUUUGUUUUGUGAUUUCAGAUGGACUCACCGUGUCACCCAGGUUGGACUGCACUGGCCUCAACCUCCUGAGUUCAAGUGAUCGUCCCACCUCAGCCUCCCCAGUAGCUGGGACCAUAGCUGUGCAGCAUCAUGCCUGGCUAAUUUUUUAAAUUUUUUGUUGAGAUGGUGGUCUCGCCCUGUUGCUCAGGCUGGCCUCAAACUCCUGGGCUGAAGCAGUCCUCCCACCUCAGCCUCCCAAAGUGCUUGGAUUAGAGGCGUGAGCCACCAUUCCUGGCUCCUUGGACAAUAUUUUAUUCCUCAGAUUAAGACACGUCCUUGGGAUGGGGCUGCAUUGGAUAAUUCACUGAAGGCACCGCUGAAUGGAGUGAGCCCUCAGUAAAUACCUGGAGGAAUGUGACCUGGCCAGUGAGGUUAUUUUCUUUUGUAGGUGAGAGGUGUAGCAGUCACUCGGCCUACACCCACAGCAUCGACCUUGUGAACCCAGCGACCUGACUGCCUUGGGAGAAUUGAAGCGAAUGAGAGUGGGGAGUGUGAGAGGUGCGCUCGGUGCAGCAUUUCUGGCAUGGGAACAGAACUGGCCAGGAGGAGGUGACGUCUGGGUUCUGCCCGCACACAUUCCUCGCCACCUUCUUGGUGUCUGAGAACCUCCAGCUUCACCUCCUUUUCUGGACCCAAGGGCCUGGCGGAGCUUCCAGCUGGGACCAGACCUCCAUGGAUCCACUCCAGAAAUGGAAUCCAGCAUCGCCUUCCAAAUCUUCCCUGAUGACAGCUGCAGAGACUUCCCAGGAAGGUCCAGCGCCCUCUCAGCCUUCGUACUCAGAACAGCCGAUGAUGGGCCUCAGUAACCUGAGCCCCGGUCCUGGCCCCAGCCAGGCUGUGCCUCUCCCAGAGGGGCUGCUCCGCCAGCGGUACAGAGAGGAGAAGACCCUGGAAGAGCGGCGGUGGGAGAGGCUGGAGUUCCUUCAGAGGAAGAAAGCAUUCCUGCGGCAUGUGAGGAGGAGACACCGCGAUCACAUGGCCCCCUAUGCUGUUGGGAGGGAAGCCAGAAUCUCCCCGUUAGGUGACAGAAGUCAGAAUCGAUUCCGAUGUGAAUGUCGAUACUGCCAGAGCCACAGGCCGAAUCUUUCUGGGAUCCCUGGGGAGAGCAACAGGGCCCCACAUCCCUCCUCCUGGGAGACGCUGGUGCAGGGCCUCAGUGGCUUGACUCUCAGCCUAGGCACCAACCAGCCCGGGCCUCUGCCUGAAGCGGCACUCCAGCCACAGGAGACAGAGGAGAAGCGCCAGCGAGAGAGGCAGCAGGAGAGCAAAAUAAUGUUUCAGAGGCUGCUCAAGCAGUGGUUAGAGGAAAACUGAGACGUGCACCCCCAUGGGAUGGAGACCCGAAGGGACUCAGACGGAGCUGCCGUGUUGGCAGCGCCUGGGUGUGGGCCCAUUUUGGGGACCAAACAGCAAGCUGUGGUCGGAUGAGUGCCAGGACCUGUGUACCGGGACACGUGGGAAUCCUCCCAGCAUGAUGCUUGACCGACCCGAGGAAGGUCCUCAUGUUUCGUGCCUGUCAUUCUCGGAUGGCUGUGAGGCAUUCCUUGGCAAGGGACGCUGCGUACCAGCGGUCCUCGCCGCAUCUCACAUGGCUCCUGUGAUGCAUGUUGUCGCUUUCCCACCCGGGAUCUCCAUCUCUCUCCCUUCCUGCUGUCAGUAAGAGAUCACAUGUCUGUGUAGUGUGAAUGCCUUGUCGCUGUCCUGUGCUUUUGCACCAUUGAGUUGACUGCCUCUGAGAAGCAGCACUAGGCCUGUUGAAAUGCAGUGUGCUGCCCUGAGAUCCAGUUUCAAGAAUGGGCAGGUAAACGCAGUGUGGGAAAGGAAUGUGGAAUGAGAACUUGGUGGUUCACCGCUGUACUAUUUGUGUAAAUGUUUACAUAUGUGAUAAGCUACAUGUAUGUAAAUGUUGCAAUACCCCUAACCGUCGAGUAGUAGUCUCCCUUACAGGAAUUUUUGAUGGGGUUCCUCAUCAUCAAUACCAAAUAAAUAUAUGUAGGAAUGGAAAAUGGGUGUAGAAUUCAGGUUUGUUCCUCAGUAUUGGUUUGUUUCUCAUUAGAUCUGAGCUGGUUACCUUGAAAUCUCCCAGCAGGGGAUCCGGGUUUAUUGAGGGAAGCUCUGUGCUGUGGAGACUGGGAACGGGGGAGGGAGGGCACCAGAGAACACAGCCCAGUCACUGUUUGAGCCCUGCAGCGGGACCAGCAUCGAGACCAGCGAGGCAGGGCCAUGGCUUUGAAGAGAGGCUUCCUGUGCACAGGAGACGUGGAAGCAGAGUCCGCCGCCCACGGUGAGAGCCCUGCGUGUUGGUGCUGGUGCCCUGGCUUAGGGGCUGCGGUGCCAUUGCUUGCUGUGUGGUGGGCCCGGGUGGGUGAAACUGAGCAGCAGUUUGCACCUGCUUUGUGAGAACCAGAGCAUCCUUGGGUUCUUCCAACAUCUUAUUGGGAUUUAGACAUGUGUGUCUUUUAAUUUCAGGAGGCACAAAUGACUAAAUCUACCUUUUUUUUUAACCUCUGCAGAAUCCUGAGAUGUGAACCCAGCCAGUACCCAUGUGACUCCUCUGAACUGAAAACAAAUUCUGCUUUGUGUCAGUCUGUUUUAGGUAGUCCCCAGAGCUGUCUUGCGGCAAAAGUCUACGCAUCUCCUGCCGACAGAAGUGGCUUGAAAACAGGUAAGUGUCUUGGAUUCUGAUGCUGAGAUCUCAUGAGAGAGUCGACAGUUGAACUGACCUAGCUCCAGGGGAGAAGGGGAAAAAAAAGCAGGGCUAUUCCUUCUUGAAACACAAAGGUCUAAGUGGAGACCAGUGAAUCCAGGAGGGUUUCAAAGGGGUUCGAGGCGUUGCCCUUUGGCUGAUGUUUCCUAGGGUUCUGAUGGUAUUUUCCCCAUUUCCAUAUGUCAGCUGCCUUCCUCCACUCCCACACACCCAUCCUCUAGCAACAUUUUCAGUUCCGCUUUAUGAAUUUCGAAAGCAGAACACCAGAGAAGUUAGGGAACUAGCCCACGGUGGCACAGGCAGUAAGAGGUAGAACUAGCACCCGAAUCUAGGUAGGCUGGGAUCGGAGCUGGCCCCCCUUCAGCAGUUCACCUCUGUGAAGGCUGUGGGUGAAGUGCCUAGAGCCGGGCUUUGGUGCUCAUUUCAUAGUUGGUAGCACCAAGUCUUGGUGAGAUCCAUUGCUGAAUCCUCCACACAGUGCCGUGGGCCAGGUACAAUCAUCCCCACCUUGUGGAGAGUUUGUGCAGGUCCUAAAGUGGUGGCCAGAGAUGCAUGCCUUUGUCUCACUCCCCAACCACUCAGAUGCUCUCUGCGGACCUCCUCAGUCAGCCCAGCAAGCACACCAGGUCCGUGCUGCCAGUGACAGUCAUCAUUUCAGCAACCAUCAGGGUUUCCAUUUUCUCACCUUGCCUGUCUCCCUUCUGGGCUACGUCGACUGUCGUGGUGGGGAGGUGAGGAGGAGUUGCAGAGGUAGCCCCGCUCCGGGGGAUUGAGCGAUUCAUCAGGGAGAGAGAUCCGACCCCAUCUUAGUCUGUGUCCUUCCACUAUAUCAUGAAAUACAACAGGCUGGGUGCUCUGGAUUGGAUAUGGUGUGUUUAUCCCCACCAAGAGUCAGGUUGAAGUUGAAUCCUCAUUGCUGCAGUGUUGGGAGGUGGGUCCUAGUGGGAGGUGUUUGGGUCGUGGUGGGGAUCCCUCAUGAAUGAGUCAGUGUCCUGUGAUGCCAUCCUGCUGGGCUGAGUUCUUACUCUCACAGGUAUGGAUUAGUUCGCAGGAGAGUGGAUUGUUCACAAGAUUCUGGCCUCCCUGGAUUCUCUCUCCCUUCCUUCUUUCCAUGUGAUCUCGUUGCACACGCCGGCUCUCCUUCCACUUUCCACCAUGAGUUGAAGCAGCCCGAGGCCCUCACCAGAUGCAGUUGCCCAAAAAUGAAUGUUUCAGCCACCAGAAUUGUGAGCCAGAUAAACCAACUUUUUCUUUUUAAAAGAUUUAUUUAUUUUAUUUUUUUUUAAGAGACCAGGUGAUGCUCUGUUGCCGACGAGAGUGGAGUGGCACGAUCAUGGCUCACUACAGCCUUGAACUCAGGUGGGAUCCUCCCACCUGAGCCUCCCAAGUAGCUCAAGGAUGUACUGCCAUGCCAGGCUGAUUUUUAAAUGUUUUGUAGAGAUAGCGUCUGGCCGUGUUGCCCAGGCAGAUCUCGAACUUCAGGCCUGAAAGUGUUCCUCCUACCUUGGCCUCCCAGAAUGCUGGGAUUAACAGGCAUGAGCCACCGUGCCUGGCCUCCCAUUUUCUUUAGAAAUUACUGAGUCUCAGGUAUUCUGUUAUAGCAAAGCAAAAUGGACCAAGACAGCUGGCAAUUUGUAAUGGAAACAAAUUUAUUUCUGGCGACCCUGGAUGCUGAGAAGUCCAAAACAAAGGUACCAGUAUCUGGUAUCUGGCAAGAGUCUUCCUGGUAUUUCCUCACGUGGCAAAAGGUGGAAGGACAAGCCGGGGAGAAUGUUAUGUCCUCACAUAGCAGAAGAGGAAAAGAGAGAGCAAACCCACUUCUGCAAGCUCUUUUCAUAGCAGCAUUCAUUCACUCACGAGGGCUCUGCCGUGAUGGCCUAAACACCUGCUGUUAUUCCACACCUCCCAACACUGUUGCAGUGGGGAUUAAUUUCACUGUGAGUUUUGGAGGGAACACAAAUAUUGAAAUGCUAGCAGAUACGCAUCGUUGUGUCAGAGAACAGGUGGUUGAUCCCAUGUGGUCCCAGUCUCAGGAGAUGAAAGGAGUGAGAGGGAUCUGAGUUGGAAAAAAGCAGGCAUCAGGGGCUUGCUCAGGGAGGUCACAGAUGCACAAUGCCACAGGGUCUCCAGGAACAGGCAUGGAAGGUGGGUGGGUGGAGGUAACUGAGGCACUCGGCACACCCUCCACAUCCUCACCUCCAGGUCUUUGUCCCUGUACCUGUGUAUGGGGGGUGGAUGGGACUUGGGGGUCAUGUCUGAGACACCAUACUAUCCCAAGUUACAGACCAGGAUCUGCAGUCCUGUGAUGUCCACAGGUGUCCAGCAUGCGACAUUCUAGAGUAGAGACCAAACCAAAGGCACCAGCAGGCGAGAGAGGAUUGGGACAGAGAAAGGUGCAAAUGCAGUGAGCACAUGGGACAUCUGAGUAGACCCGGAGAAUGUAAGGAAAUAGAAAGACUACAUUAAAAAUCUUCCCACUAGGGACAGUCUAGGCUCCACUGCCUCAUUGGUGAAGUCUGUCCAACAUUUACAAAAUACAUAAUGCCAACCCUUCACAGAUUCUUUUAGACUAUAGAGGAGGGAACAUUUCCCAACUUAUCCUUUGAAAAUUGUAUUACCCUGCUACUAAAGGCAGAUAGAGGCUGGGCGUGGUGGCUCACGCCUGUAAUCCCAACAUGUUGGGAGUCUGAGGUGGGCGGACCACCUGAGGUCAGGAGUUUGUGACCAGCCUGGCCAACAUGGUGAAACCCCGACUCUACUGAAAAUACAAAAAUUAGCUGAGUACCUGAAUACAGGUGGGCACCUGUAUUCCCAGCUACUCGGGAGGCAGAGGCAGGAGAAUUGCAUGAACCUGGGAGGCAGAGGUUGCAGUGAGCCCAGAGCGCACCACUGCACUCCAGCCUGGGUGACAGAGCAAGACUUGUCUCAAAAACAAUAAUAAAAUAAUAAUAAUAAUAGUGCCAGAGACAGCAGAAGAAUACCAUAAACCAAUAUCCAUCAUGAAUAUGCGUGCAAAAAUCCCCAACAAAAUAUUAACAAACCCCAAUCCAGCGACACAUACAGUGGGUUAUGCAACAUGACCAAGUGACAUUUAUUCUAGGAAUGCAAGAUUGGCUUAACAUUCAAAUUUCAGUCAAGGUAAUCCACCCUGUUAAUAUAAUAGAGGACGGGAACUAUAUCAUCAUCUUCAUAGACAGAGAAAAGUAUUUGACAAUAUCUGACACCCAUUAGUGAUAAAAUCAUGUCUACACAAAGACAUGUGCUCAGAUGUUCACCGCAGCAUUUUGCAGGAAGGCCCCAGAGUGGAAACAAGCCAAAUGUCUACCAAUCAGUAAAGGGAUAAAGAAGUGGUAUAUCCGUACAGCCAAAUGUUACUGAGCCGUGACAAAGAACACACUACUGAUGCACGUUUGAGCCUCCAAGACAUUAUGCUAAUUGACAGAUGUCAGACACAGAAGACCACUUAUUGCACAAGUCAGUUUAUAGGAAAUGCCCAGAGAGGCAGCUCUAAAGAGAGAGAAAGGAGCUUGCUAGUUGCCUGGGUGGGCCUGGAGGUAAAGUAAUGGGGAUUGACUGCUGCUAGUGGGUACCAGCGAUCUUUCUGGGGUGAUGGAAGUAUUCUGAAACUGGAUAGUGGUGAGGGCUGCAAAACUGUGUAAAUUUACUAAAACUCACUGUGUUAUUCCCUUUAGGUACGUGAAGUUUGUGGCAAGCAAAUUAUACCUUAGUAAAGCCAUUUAAAAAAUGUAGUGCAAGUGUGACCGUAAGUCACGGAGGAAAGGGUAUGCAGUCAUUUCUUUCUACAACAGUAAGCAACAUCCCCUCUCUUUCCCUGUUCCGCGUCCUGCCUACAUGUCCUGCCUGGUCGCCUGGCUCCUCCACGUGCACUUGAUGCUCCAGCCAGAUAGACUGUGCACACCUGGGCAGAGGGAGUGCUGGUGAGUGCACAUGUCUACGUGUGUGUCUGUGUGCGGUGUGCACGCGUUCCUGCGCAGGCACCCUGUGGGUGCAUGCACUAGUGACUGUCAAUCCUCUGUCUGUGGGCUGGCUCCCAUAAUCCAUGCUACGUCCUGAAUUCCACUGCCGGUUUUUCUGUUCACCAAUCUCAAGGACCUGGCUUCAGUUUCCCUGGUAACCAACCUCAGCCCUUAGCUUCAACCUCUGAGCACAGGAAGACAGCCAGAGUGGGGAGGGGUGGUGUCUCACCCACAGGGCCCCUGCCGGAGCUGAGCACCCCAUUGGGAUGAGUGGCAGCACGGUUACCAAGACAACGGAACUCUCGACCCCUUUCCACCUGCAAGGCUCUUCUCCCUCUCCUGGGCCUGCCGAGCAUCAGGUCGGAAAGUGCUGCAAAGAACAUGGGGAGUAUCUGGACUAUCAAUACCCAGAAGUGAGAUUACUGGAUCAUAUGGUAGUUAUUUUCAAGGUGAGUAAAACACUGCAUAGAUACGUUCACGAGACAUUGCACUAUCAUUCCUUGAAUCUAGAGAUGGCUCAGAUUUGUAUUAGCUGAUGUGGAUGAAUCAGCUCCCAGGCUUACUUAUUGUGUUGAGAUGCAUUUUUCACAUGUUAUUAUAAUUAGUGAUAUCAGAUUAAUCCUUCUGCUUAAAGGGCCAUAUAGGACUAGGAAAUGUACGAUGAAAAAUACAAUUCAGCAGUCCCUUGUUUCAUGUGUUGCACCCGUGGAGACCCACCUCCGCAAACUUCUUUUUUUUCUUCAGCUAUUUCUUCUGAAUAUUAACCUCUGUGUCUCUAAAUGAUGGGCUCCUACUGCUAUGUCCCGAUUUAGGGAUUUGGAGGUUAUCUGCUGAGUUCUCGGAGGAGAUGAGCAUUUCAGUCUCUGAGAUACAUUACAGGGCCCGGGUCUGCUCUUUGGCCUUCCCUGUGGGGGCCACCCAAGCCAGGGUCUGGGCCUCCACUCGGAUGCCUGUAGAGAGUCUCUGCCAAUACAAAGCCUUCACGGGAGACUCUUUGCUCAUCUGUGGCAAUGUGGAGGUCAUGGUUGGCUUUUUCCAGAGGCUUGCAGCAGAGUCACGGGGUGAUCUGCAGCCAACCUGGCAGUAUUCCUAGGUUCUGGGGUUCAGGAACUGAGUGGAUGGCGGUGCCAACCCAUGAGACAAGGGACACAGUUGGGGGUCAUCCGCUGAUUUGUUGGGCUUGUGGGAUAUCUGAGUGGACAUGCUCCUGAAACCAUGCCCUGUGGGGGCUCUGGGGCUCAGCUGGGAUUUUCCUGGUGGAGUUCGUGAUGCAGGAAUCCAUCAGCACACAAGCGGAGAAGGACAGAACCAAGUCUGGGUGGCCAUGUGGGCACCCAGGGUCACCUACAGAAUGAGGAGUGUCCAGGGCAAAGGUCGCAAGAGGGAGGAGGAGUCCCGCUGGGGGAGCACAGAGCAGUCUUGUGAUGAGAGUGGUGGACCUAUGGGGCUUGGAGUUGGGGUGAUGGAAGGGGCUGGGUACAUGGGGGCACUUGGUCUGGAGAUUCACACCGAAUGCCUGGUGUGAGGAGGUUUCUUUGCUUGAGACCAUAGAAGCACGAGGAGCCAUCAGAAGCCAGAAGAGGUUGUUCGUGUCUGUGGCCCUGGCCAGGAUGGAUUUCCAGCCUCUGUAAACCUAAGCCCUAUCGUGAGAGUGGCCUCAAAGUGUUAUCCCUCGUGGUGAGGAGGCUGUGCUUUUGGGCCCUUCAAGGGAGGAUCAGAGAGACUUAGCCACAGGGUGACACAACAGAACUCCCCUGGGAGUUCUCCAUGGGAACUGCGAGGGGCCCCGUGUUCCAGUAUUCUUUGCAAAUGCAAGGAGAGCCCCGAGUCUGGAGGUUCAGAUAUCUUGCAGCGAGCCACCUGUACCAGGCCACCAUAAAUAAUGGUGGGGUAUGUUCCCCAGUGAAGGAGCAGGUGCGAUGCAAGAAAGAUUCCGGCCAUCACUACCUGGCCACAGCCCAGGUGCCAUCGGGAACUGAAGGUCUUUGUCAAGGAAACUCGUCAUUGCAAAGCUCCUUAAACUCUCUUUGGGCGGUGGGGGGGGGGGGUGUCUCCGGGUGUCUACCUGGGUGGUACCCCCUAUAAGAAAAGGGGACCACAUGGGGCAUGAAUGUGACAAGAGGAGAAGCACGCCCUUCCUCCAAAUUGACCCCUUUAGAGAUCCCAGGAUGAGACACAAGGGCCCCGGGAGCCUCUCUGGGUCUGGUUCCUGGUGUGCAUUUGCCAGACUCUUCGGCCUCAGAGCGCUGCUGGGGCGUGAAGAAGUGCUGUAGAAGUCAUGAUUUUCUCAGCGUCAAGAGCCCAAUCAGGAUCUGGAAGUGGUGGAGUGGCCUCGGAGUUCCAGGUACUCGAGAGGCUGAGGUGGGAGGAUGGCUUGAGCCGAGUUCAAGGCUGUAGUGAUGUAUGUUUGCACGACUGCACUCCAGCCUGGGUGACAGAGCAAGACCUUAUAUCAAAAAAAAAAAAAACAAAACCGAAUCAGGCAAUGCGUAUAUAAAUGUUUUCUAAAUCUUACAGCUCCACGUGAAGUAAGAGUGCUAUUACUGAUUUUGUUUUUGCUGCCUAACUGUGGCGGCUGCUUCUGUUAGUAACCGAGUUCUAUUAUUAAAUGAAAACACUCAACGGGGCCCAAGACAGCUGACUUGCCCCGGGGUGGAGAAGCGAGACCUGCCCAAAGGGCCAUGCCAGUGCACUAGGGCGCAUGGUGUCUGUGAGAAAUGAGGAGGUUCUGCCUUGGAGAAUGAGUUUCUGCCAGGAUACAACAAUGGGAGACAAUUCUUGGGUCUGUCAGGAGCCACUGAAGUUCUCCCCUGUACCUUUCAACUCUUGGGAGGAAACUGGCAUUAUGUACAUUUGAAAGAAAUAGGAAGGAAAAAAGCCCUCCUUCUUUUAAUAAGAAAUUUUGGCUUGCUGCAUUUGCUCCAGGCGUCAUUCUCUGUCUGUAGAAACAUUGUUUCACUCCACCCUCCAGGGCUCAGUUCCUGGGAAGUGGGGUCUAUCUUAAUAAAGAACACUGGAGCCCGGCAUGGCUGGGGAUGUCAAUGAUGGCCCUCAAGGAGGCCCUGCUCACCUCGGUGACAUGCUCAUUGGCUGCUCCACUCUCUGUGUGUGUCUGGUUUUCUCCUCUUUCUGUGCUCUGUUUGGGGAGGGUCUAUUUAUGGGGAGUUAAUAUCAUCUCAGAUGAUUAAAGAAGAGGUGGCAGCCAUGCACACUGGUACACACCAGUAAUCCCAGUCAUUUGGGAGGCUGAGGCUGGAGGAUGCUUGAGCCCAGGAGUUUGAGACCAGCCUGGCCAACAUAAUGAGACCUCAUCUCUACAAAGAAUAAAAACAUUAGCCGGCUGUGGUCGUGCAAGAUUGUACUCCCAGCUACUGGGGUGGUUGAGGUGGGAGGAUCUCUUGAGCCCAGGAGUUUUGACGCUGCAGUGAGCUACAGUCAUGCUACUGUACUCCAUCCUAGGUGACAGAAAAAAAAAGAGAAAGAAAAGAAGGGGAAAAAAAACCCUUCUUUUUAUGAGAAUCUUUGGCUUACUGCUUUUUCUCUAGGCUUCCUUUCAUGGCUCUAGACACAUGUUUUGACUCCAAGCUCCAUGGCUCAGGCCCUGGGAAAUGGGUUCUGUCUUAAUAAAGGACAGUAGGGCCUGGCCUUGCAUGGGGAGGGGAACGACAGCUUCUCUCUUCUGUGUGUCUGUCAGAUUCUUUGCUCUUUCUGUGUCCUGUUUUGGGAGUCUGCUUAUGAGGGGUUAAAAUUGUCCUGGGUUACAGUAGGGAAGACAAGUACGUCCCAUUCCCUUGCUACUGUGGACUGAUAAGACGGUGUGCAGAGGAGGAGUCGCAGGGAAUGGUGUGCAGAGGAGGAAUCGCAGGGAAUGGUAUGCAGAGAGCAACAAACUCACUCAAGCCCCUCACACCCCACAAGCACGCUGGCUUAUUUAUUCUCUCUGACUGAUUUGACAUUUGUCUUGCUUGUCCACCCUCUGGACUGGAUAGUAAGGGGAAACAAACGCACUGGAUUUUCGUCUAAUCUGGUGUCAUCUGAUGCUGUCAUGUAACCGGUCCAUUUGUAUAAAUGCUCAAUCUGUUUUGGCGAAAAUGAUCAGUCUCUUGGAUUGCCACCCCACCUCCCUACUCUUGUCCAAGAUGGGGAAGGGGCAUAUAUGGCUUUUGAGUCUCCAUGGUGAUGUGGGAAGGGGCCUAUGACAUUGUAUGUUGACUGCAGUGUCCUCGGUGGGUUCUGAGGGAAGGCUCACUCUUGUCCCCAGGUCCUGCUGGCGACGCUGCCCUGCUCACCCAUGCGUGAGGCUGGCGUAACUUGCAUUUUUGUCUCUCUCUCUCUCAUCUUGAUCAGGACCUUGUGCUCCCUGACUGACUUGACCUCAGCCCACCUGUACUGGCAUCUAGCAGACCCUUCUGAGUCAGGGCCUCAUGCUCUCCCCGACCCCUGACCAGUGCUGUCCACUCCACAGCCUCAGCUGCAGGGUCUCCUAGCUCCUAUCUGGCUUAUGCUUGCUUCAUGGUAGCACCGCUGGGUUUUGAAUCAGCCACUUCCACAUUCCCCUCUCAGAGAAUGUAGAGCGCUGAGGUCUCCCAAAACAGCAGGAACCAAGAUCAGCUCUACAAAGUGAAAUUCCUCAACUCCAGACAUCCCUCUGCCCAAAGAGGCUACUGGGCCAUUCUGCAAAACGAGCUCCAAAUUUGCAUGAGGUAAAACCCUCUUUUACUCGAAGCUUCUCUCCACUCCCUUGUCACACCUUCCUCCUCUGAGAUGUCUGACUCUGUCACUGCCUCUGGGGACCUCCUACCCCCUGUGACCAGAACAGGACACUUUCUUUGGCUUGCCUUUCAUGUUCACCUCAGACUUGCCCUGUUAUAUCCAGGUCAAGAAGGUCACAGUUGGGAAUUUGUACUUGGUUCAGAACAACAGUAGAAUAUGUUUCCAAGGGCCUGAGCCAUGGAGCUUGGAUUCAAAAAAAUGUGUCCAGAGCCAGGAAAGGACGCCUAGGGAAAAAGCAGUAAGCCAAAGGUUUACUGCUUCUUACUUAUAAGAAGAAGGGGAGAUUUUUCCCUCUUGUUUCUCUCUCUCUCUUU
Molecule: RNA transcript, 15681 nt
Organism: Gorilla gorilla gorilla (western lowland gorilla)
Lineage: Eukaryota; Metazoa; Chordata; Mammalia; Primates; Hominidae
Gene name: protein FAM156A/FAM156B
Exons: 4
Source: RefSeq, a predicted model, not a curated record